Long non-coding RNA from Leucoraja erinaceus (little skate), 469 nucleotides. RefSeq lists it as uncharacterized. The transcript has 3 exons. The record is from RefSeq and is a predicted model, not a curated record. NCBI's taxonomy places the organism in Eukaryota, Metazoa, Chordata, Chondrichthyes, Rajiformes, Rajidae.
GGUUUAGAGGGAUAUGGACCAAACGUAGGCAGGUGGGACUAGUGUAGCUGGGAGAUGUUGGUCGGUGUGGGCAAGUUGGCUGAAGGGGUUGUUUUCAUGCUGUAUCACUCUCUGACCAGUGGGUGACAUAGAUAGGUGAUGACUGCAAUAAUAAUUUAGGCAAAUAAUCUCCGAAUGGUACACAACCAUUAUUUUACACAUAAUUCUCCCCUCUCCCAUCGGGCAAGAGGUACAGAAGUGUGAAAACGAACGCACACACCUCCAGAAUCAGAGACAGUUUCUUCCCGGCUGUUAUCAGGCAACUGAACCAUCCUACCACAACCAGAGAGACAUUAGACAAUAGAUAAUAGGUGCAGGAGUAGGCCAUUUGGCCCUUCGAGCCGGUCCUGAACUACUAUCCACCUCAAUGGAGACCCUCGGACUAUCCUUGAUCGGACUUUGCUGGCUUUACCUUGCACUAAAGGUUAUU